UACAGCCAUAUCGUGUUGAAACAUCAGUUCUCUAUAUGAUCACCACAGUUAAGUAACAUCAAGCCUAAUCAGUACCUUGAUGGGUGACUGCUUGGGAAUACCAGAUGCUGUAA
Molecule: non-coding RNA, 113 nt
Organism: Acanthosepion pharaonis
Lineage: Eukaryota; Metazoa; Mollusca; Cephalopoda; Sepiida; Sepiidae
Source: the annotation of a GenBank genome assembly